GAUGAACGCUGGCGGCGUGCCUAAUACAUGCAAGUAGAACGCUGAAGCUUGGUGCUUGCACCGAGCGGAUGAGUUGCGAACGGGUGAGUAACGCGUAGGUAACCUGCCUCUUAGCGGGGGAUAACUAUUGGAAACGAUAGCUAAUACCGCAUAAAAGUCGACAUUGCAUGAUGUUGACUUGAAAGGUGCAAUUGCAUCACUAAGAGAUGGACCUGCGUUGUAUUAGCUAGUUGGUGAGGUAACGGCUCACCAAGGCGACGAUACAUAGCCGACCUGAGAGGGUGAUCGGCCACACUGGGACUGAGACACGGCCCAGACUCCUACGGGAGGCAGCAGUAGGGAAUCUUCGGCAAUGGGGGCAACCCUGACCGAGCAACGCCGCGUGAGUGAAGAAGGUUUUCGGAUCGUAAAGCUCUGUUGUAAGAGAAGAACGAGUGUGAGAGUGGAAAGUUCACACUGUGACGGUAACUUACCAGAAAGGGACGGCUAACUACGUGCCAGCAGCCGCGGUAAUACGUAGGUCCCGAGCGUUAUCCGGAUUUAUUGGGCGUAAAGCGAGCGCAGGCGGUUAGAUAAGUCUGAAGUUAAAGGCUGUGGCUUAACCAUAGUACGCUUUGGAAACUGUUUAACUUGAGUGCAGAAGGGGAGAGUGGAAUUCCAUGUGUAGCGGUGAAAUGCGUAGAUAUAUGGAGGAACACCGGGUGGCGAAAGCGGCUCUCUGGUCUGUAACUGACGCUGAGGCUCGAAAGCGUGGGGAGCAAACAGG
This 766-nucleotide ribosomal RNA is filed under the name uncultured Streptococcus sp. Its description in RNAcentral is "bacterial SSU rRNA". It matches the Rfam family "Bacterial small subunit ribosomal RNA", at positions 28 to 776 of the family's 1533-position model. Lineage: Bacteria; Bacillati; Bacillota; Bacilli; Lactobacillales; Streptococcaceae. The record is from RNAcentral.